This 75-nucleotide transfer RNA is filed under the name Tepidimicrobium xylanilyticum. RNAcentral describes it as "tRNA-Glu". It matches the Rfam family "tRNA". Rfam says of the family: Transfer RNA (tRNA) molecules are approximately 80 nucleotides in length. Their secondary structure includes four short double-helical elements and three loops (D, anti-codon, and T loops). Further hydrogen bonds mediate the characteristic L-shaped molecular structure. tRNAs have two regions of fundamental functional importance: the anti-codon, which is responsible for specific mRNA codon recognition, and the 3' end, to which the tRNAs corresponding amino acid is attached (by aminoacyl-tRNA synthetases). tRNAs cope with the degeneracy of the genetic code in two manners: having more than one tRNA (with a specific anti-codon) for a particular amino acid; and 'wobble' base-pairing, i.e. permitting non-standard base-pairing at the 3rd anti-codon position. The record is from RNAcentral. RNAcentral also lists the same sequence under 2 other names. Lineage: Bacteria; Bacillati; Bacillota; Tissierellia; Tissierellales; Tepidimicrobiaceae.
GGCCCUAUGGUCAAGUGGUUAAGACACCGCCCUUUCACGGCGGUAACCGGGGUUCGAAUCCCCGUAGGGUCACCA